GACGAACGCUGGCGGCGUGCCUAAUACAUGCAAGUUGAGCGCAGAGGGUUGGUGCUUGUUCCACCUACAUUAGCAGCGGACGGGUGAGUAACACGUGGGUAAUCUACCUUUGAGCGUGGGACAACAUUGGGAAACCAAUGCUAAUACCGCAUAAAAACUUUAAACACAAGUUUUAAGAUUGAAAGAUGCUAUUGCAUCACCCAAUAAUGAUACCGCGUCGUCUUAGCUAGGUGGUGAGGGAAACGCUCAACAAGGCGAUGAUACAGAGCCGACCUGAGAGGGUGGUCGGCCACAUUGGGAACGAGACACGGCCCAAGACUCCACGGGAGGCAGCAGUAGGGAAUUUUUGGCAAUGGACGAAAGUCUGACCGGGCAACGCCGCGGGAGUUAAGAAGGGUCUCGGAUUGGAAAAAUCUGUUGGUAGAGAAGAACGUUGGGUAGAGGGGAAAGCUCAUCAAGUGACGGUAACUACCCAGAAAGCGACGGCUAACUACGUG
Molecule: ribosomal RNA, 497 nt
Filed under: uncultured bacterium
Lineage: Bacteria
Description: partial 16S ribosomal RNA
Rfam family: Bacterial small subunit ribosomal RNA
Source: RNAcentral